This is a long non-coding RNA of Dendroctonus ponderosae (mountain pine beetle), 1263 nucleotides long. RefSeq lists it as uncharacterized. Lineage: Eukaryota; Metazoa; Arthropoda; Insecta; Coleoptera; Curculionidae. The record is from RefSeq and is a predicted model, not a curated record. The transcript is spliced from 3 exons.
AAAUAUUUCAUAGCAAAAAGAAAUAUUUCUUAAAUAUUAUGAAAAAAUAUUGGUAUUUAUAUUUAAUGUAUAUCCACGGUAUAUAGCCAUAUACCAUUUCUUAAUGGUAAAAAAUACAUUUUGCGUGCCCGCAGCAGAAAGCAGCGGGAUGUAAAAGUUAAUUUUCUUUUACUGCUAAAUCCUGCUAAUUAUUAAAUGCUGAAAAUUUGGUGUUUAUUGAACCAACACCGCAGGGGCACGUUCAAGCAAAUUAUUUAUUAGUUCUAACUUGAAUAUAAUGUUUCUACUUUAAGAUAGCAAAACAUUACUCAUUGUUUAUUUUCAAUAGUAGCACCUACUGAGGUAUGCUGGACCAUUCUAAGAGUCUGACCAUUGUUCAAGAAGCGAGCCAGCCUUAACAGAAGAAUUGUUAAGUUGACGGCCUCUCAAUUGAAACAAGCGUAGAGAAUACACUAUUAAACGCAUUUGUAUAAUUUUACGCUGAUGAGAUUUAUAUACAUCUGUAACAUAUGUUGCUAGAUAAUACACCAAACCUAUCGAAAUGUUGCUUUGUCAAAAUGGACUUGGAAUGCCGCCGAAAUUCAGUAUAGUUUUACGUUACUAGAUAAUAGACCAUUAGAUUCGGCUUGCUCUCCACUCCCUGUAGAUUUCCGCUAAAAAUUAUAGUUAAGCUGGGUUUUCAUGGGUCAGGAAAGCGCCCGGAAUGCGGAAGUAGAGUGGGCCGCGUUAAAAACUGGGCCCAAUUGUUCAACACAUGUGGAAUGCCGUGUGAGUGGGGCUCUCAAUCUCCAUCUUCAAAUGAAGUUUCAAGCAUUACUAUCGUAAAAAAACUUCAUGACAUCCAAUUUGAAAUAUUGGACCGGAAGUUAGCCUUACUAUAUUCUGGUCAAGGAAAAAAAAGAAAACUGCCGUUCUGCUGUCUAAAACUAUUUGAAGCCAUUGUGGGUAAGAUAGUUUACACUAUUUCCUGUUUUUAAAAUCAGAAACUAAUAAUAAUCUAAAGAAAAUUUUAUUUUUGUGUUAAAUAAAAACGUUAAUACACGUUUAUUUUUUAAUUUUUGAAAUAAGAACAAUUAAUUACUUGUCAUUCAACCAAUUGGUGCCUAUGACGUCAUUAAAGUGUUUUUUUUUGUUCCGGCUGCCAUUCGUAAACAAUAUGCCACCGAGAGUGAAGACAAAAUAAAGAAAUCGGCGGUCUUAUUUCUGGCGGCUGCCAAAUCGCGAAUCAAAGAACCCCAAACGAAUGCAGAUGAGUCGCUAAAU